This 459-nucleotide ribosomal RNA is filed under the name uncultured bacterium. RNAcentral describes it as "partial 16S ribosomal RNA". It matches the Rfam family "Bacterial small subunit ribosomal RNA", at positions 338 to 795 of the family's 1533-position model. The record is from RNAcentral.
CCUACGGGAGGCAGCAGUGAGGAAUAUUGGUCAAUGGUCGGGAGACUGAACCAGCCAAGCCGCGUGAGGGAUGAAGGUCCAGAGUAUCGUAAACCUCUUUUGUCAGGGAACAAAGGCGGGGACGCGUCCCCGGAUGAGUGUACCUGAAGAAACAGCAUCGGCUAACUCCGUGCCAGGAGCCGCGGUAAUACGGAGGAUGCGAGCGUUAUCCGGAUUUAUGGGGUUGAAAGGGUGCGCAGGCGGUCUGUUAAGUUAGCGGUCAAAGCCCGGGGCUCAACCCCGUGCCGCCGUUGAAACUGGCAGUCUCGAGUGGGAGAGAGGUAUGCGGAAUGCGCGGUGUAGCGGUGAAAUGCGUAGAUAUCGCGCAGAACUCCGAUUGCGAAGGCAGCAUGCCGGCUCCACACUGACGCUGAGGCACGAAAGCGUGGGUAUCGAACAGGAUUAGAUACCCUGGUAGUC